UGCUCAGCUGGAAAACUGGACACCUUCCUA
RNAcentral lists this non-coding RNA (30 nucleotides) under Rattus norvegicus (Norway rat). Lineage: Eukaryota; Metazoa; Chordata; Mammalia; Rodentia; Muridae. The record is from RNAcentral.